Molecule: long non-coding RNA, 1832 nt
Organism: Lagopus muta (rock ptarmigan)
Lineage: Eukaryota; Metazoa; Chordata; Aves; Galliformes; Phasianidae
Exons: 3
Source: RefSeq, a predicted model, not a curated record
CAUCCUGUGCGGAACGCCACUCCCAAAACAGGUGCCAUUGUGGAACCUUCCCCAUGUCACAGCCGUCACCUUGGUCACUGCCGCCCCACCCGGAGCACUCGUCUCUGAGAGUGCUGGGCAGGUGGCAGCCAUGUCCAGCACGAAGAGAGCGAGAGAGGAGGAGAGAGUGGUUUUAAAUGGGAAGAGGGAGCUGGGGGCCCCAGAACCGAAGAGGAGGAGGGGGCCCACCAUGACCAUCAGGCAGCGGAGGGAGAGGAGGAAGGGAGCCCGGUUCCAUCGCGCCCGGGCCAGCGCUGUGAGCGACCAUGGGGAGCCCAUGGAGGUGGAUCCGCCUCCAGAGGAGCCCAUGGAGGUGGAUCCGCCUCCAGAGGAACCCAUGGAGGUGGAUCCGCCUGCGGCACAGCUGGCCUGGCACCACACCACCGUGCCAGGCCCUGUGUUGGCGCGGUCACAGCUCCGCCAUCGCUGGUCCGGGCGCUCGGCUCCCUACCCGCUGCGUGGCCCCCGCCCCCGGCAUUAGCUGGGUGGCAUUGCUAACAUCUGCUCCUCCUCCACCUUGUUGCUCCUCUGCGGUUCUGCGGGCCCCCGGUUCCAUCUUCCCCCCGUAGGAGUUAGGUCCCACUUCUGGGCUUUGUUGUUGAUUUUAGUGUUAGCUUAGUUUUAGUGUUCAGUUCAGUUUUAGCAUUAGGCAUAGGUUCCUGUUAGGAGUUUAGCGUUAGGCAUAGGUUACUGUUAGGAGUUUAGGGUUAGGCAUAGGUUACUGUUAGGAGUUUAGGGUUAGGCAUAGGUUACUGUUAGGAGUUUAGAGUUAGGCAUAGGUUACUGAUAGGAGUUUAGAGUUAGGCAUAGGUUGCUGCUGCCAACUGGCAGUAAAUGCUGCUCACUCGGUAAGCCCUCCCCAAGUUCUCAUGCAGAGAAAUGAGUGCGACUGCCCUGAGAAGGGAGGUUUGAGGACGUCUGCGAUAAAUUUCCGUCUUGUGACUUUUCUGUUGCAGAACAUCGAGGCAUGUGAGUGGCUGAGCAAUGGAGUUGGGACUCAGGGGAGCAAUCGAGCAAUGGGUGCCUGUGUCACAACCUUCCUGAGCGGCCCUUGCAAGGACUGGCACAGUCUUGGGACUCGGUCUGGCGAGACAGUGAAGAAAGCCAAGGCAAGUGCUGCUUGGCUGAGGAAGGAAGCCCAGAAGGAGAGCAAAAAGAAGCGAGAAGGGCUUGAGUGAGAAGGCCCACAGGACACUCGAAUCAGCUGGAAUGCUUCCUCGGAGGUGGCACCAAGGGCAGCGGACUGAGUCAGCGUCCGGUUUUGUGGCAUGGCCGUGCUUUCCCUGUCACGGACAGUGCAGCGGAACUGAGGCACCUGGAAGGGAAGGGCUUGUGCUGCAUUCCAAGCAAAGAGGGCUUGCCAGAGCCAGGUCUUCAUCUAUGGCAAGAGAUGGAGAGGCUGUGUUCCUUCAGGCUGCGUCUCUUCAGGGCCAGGGCCGGUCUAGUGUGAGAUUGAAGUACGGCUAGCCGGGCCUGGAGGGAGAGGAGCUGACGUAGCCACAGGGUCAGGCUUCUCCUUGUGUCUGCCUGGAGGCUGAAUUUUUUUUGCUAAGCAGAAAAGCAGAAUUUUUUUGCUAAGCAGAAACCCUGGGCGCUGGGGUUUCAUUUUGGGCUGUGUUGAUAAAUACAACCCAGAGCCUUUUGUAUUGAAUAAAAGCGAAACCAACUUUUUAAACACAGUGCUGCCUCAUUCUGUAGCUGGUCAAAAGGUCCUGUGCUUGGGCUGGCAAUCACGGGGCCAUGAACCGGUCGGCUCUUUAUCACCUGGGUGUUGUGUCACUGUGUCACCAGGG